RNAcentral lists this ribosomal RNA (794 nucleotides) under uncultured bacterium. RNAcentral describes it as "bacterial SSU rRNA". It matches the Rfam family "Bacterial small subunit ribosomal RNA", at positions 8 to 796 of the family's 1533-position model. The record is from RNAcentral.
AGAGUUUGAUCAUGGCUCAGAUUGAACGCUGGCGGAAUGCUUUACACAUGCAAGUCGAACGGCAGCACGGGGGCAACCCUGGUGGCGAGUGGCGAACGGGUGAGUAAUACAUCGGAACGUGCCCAUGUCGUGGGGGAUAACGUAGCGAAAGCUACGCUAAUACCGCAUACGAUCUACGGAUGAAAGCGGGGGAUCGCAAGACCUCGCGCGAUUGGAGCGGCCGAUGGCAGAUUAGGUAGUUGGUGGGGUAAAGGCUCACCAAGCCAACGAUCUGUAGCUGGUCUGAGAGGACGACCAGCCACACUGGGACUGAGACACGGCCCAGACUCCUACGGGAGGCAGCAGUGGGGAAUUUUGGACAAUGGGCGAAAGCCUGAUCCAGCCAUUCCGCGUGCAGGAUGAAGGCCCUCGGGUUGUAAACUGCUUUUGGACGGAACGAAAAGCCUUCUUCUAAUACAGGAGGGUCAUGACGGUACCGUCAGAAUAAGCACCGGCUAACUACGUGCCAGCAGCCGCGGUAAUACGUAGGGUGCAAGCGUUAAUCGGAAUUACUGGGCGUAAAGCGUGCGCAGGCGGUUAUGUAAGACAGAUGUGAAAUCCCCGGGCUCAACCUGGGAACUGCAUUUGUGACUGCAUAGCUAGAGUACGGUAGAGGGGGAUGGAAUUCCGCGUGUAGCAGUGAAAUGCGUAGAUAUGCGGAGGAACACCGAUGGCGAAGGCAAUCCCCUGGACCUGUACUGACGCUCAUGCACGAAAGCGUGGGGAGCAAACAGGAUUAGAUACCCUAGUAGUCC